RNAcentral lists this long non-coding RNA (675 nucleotides) under Parus major (Great Tit). Its description in RNAcentral is "lncRNA (ENSPMJG00000014314.1)". Lineage: Eukaryota; Metazoa; Chordata; Aves; Passeriformes; Paridae. The record is from RNAcentral.
GUUUAAAACUCAAGACUUACAGGAAAGAAAAUGAAAAUGAGAUGCCUCUCAUAUUGUGCUUGCAGCAAAGACAUUCAUUAGCAUUCUCUGUCUUUCUGCCUGCCAAGGCCCAAACAAAAGAUACGGUCUGGAACAAUGGCCUGAAAUGAGGAACACAACCAAAGCAGCCGUGGAGGAAGCCUGCUGUUUCCCAUGGUUUGGAGACCUGGAGCCAAUAUAUAGUGUCCUAAGCAGAUGUGUGGAAGUGGAAAAUGCCUCAAAUGACAGCGGUGGUGAAGCCUCCAAAGACACGCAACCUCUCCAUGAGGAAGGGGUACCUGCCGUCUCUCCUAGAGGGGGUCAAUGCCUCCAGGACCCUUCAGUCACUGCAGAGCGUGUGGACAUCCUCCCUCUGUGAAGGAAGCAUGAUGUCGUGCCUCCUUUGCUAACUGACACAAAGACAAGGAAGAACAAGAGGGAAGAAGGAAAUUUGAUUCUUCACGUUGAAGCAUUAAUUUCUUGAAUUUGGAGGUACAAAAAGUGUGGCUUUUGUUCCAGUAACAACUCUUGCCUUUAGUUUCUUUUAACAUUACCCUGAUGGUAAGUAGGUAAAAAAUCAUACUCAUUUGUGAAAAAGCACUUUUUGCAUAGUGUAUGUAGCAAUAUCAGGAGAUAGGGGUAGAAUUUCAAAGUGGU